This 1251-nucleotide ribosomal RNA is filed under the name Triticum aestivum (bread wheat). RNAcentral describes it as "partial small subunit ribosomal RNA". Lineage: Eukaryota; Viridiplantae; Streptophyta; Magnoliopsida; Poales; Poaceae. The record is from RNAcentral.
AUGGCGUCCGCCCCCGCCGCCGCCCCUGCCGUCACCUUCCAGCCCGGCCGGCGCGCCCCGCUGCCGCCCCGCUGCACGCAUUCCGAGCGCGGCGUCUCCUUCGACCCCGGCUCCGCCUUCUACCGCAGCGACAGCGCCCCGGGCCGCGACCUCGCCGUCCUCGCCGCCACCCUCCACCGCCGGCGCCGCCCCGACCCCUCCGCCCCUUUCCUGUGCCUCGACGCGAUGUGCGGCUCCGGCGUCCGCGCGCUCCGCUACCUCGCGCAGGCCGGCGCCGACUUCGUCUGGGCCAACGACGCCUCCGACGCGCUCCACCCGGUCAUCGUCGGCAACCUCUCUCGCUUCGAGCCCGUGCCUCCCGAAGGGCAGAGGCGGUGGGUGGUGUCGCACCUCGACGCCACCCGGCUGCUCGCCGAGAGGUACCUCCGCCGCGAAUACUUCGACGUCAUCGACGUCGACUCGUUCGGCAGCGAGGCCGAGUACAUCCGGGCGGCCUUCCUGGCGCUCAAGAUUGGGGGCCUUCUCUACCUCACCUCCACCGAUUGGCGGUCGGCAAGAGGUUAUGGCGGAAAAUGCUCACUGUCUUCAUACGGAGCAUACGUUCUUCCAGUGCCAUAUCCGAAUGAGAUUGGUUUGCGAAUGCUUUUAGGUGGGGCUGCCCGUGAAGCAGCAAUGCUGGGAUUUCACAUAAAACCAGUAUUCUCUUAUUACGCGUACCAUGGUCCAAUUUUUCGAGCGAUGGUACAAUUAUGCCAUGGAAAAGAAGAUGGCAUCAGCAAUUAUGGUUUCAUUUGUCAUUGCAAGAGUUGCGGCCAGUCUCAGACUUUUGGAUUUGACGAAUUGGGGCAGAUUUCUUGCGGAUGUGCAAAUAGAACAGAUGCCACUUCAAUCACAGUUGUAGGCCCACUUUGGACAGGUCCUCUCCAUGAUCGCUCUUCCAUUACCGAAAUGCUAAACUUGGCUGUAGAAUGGGGAUGGGCACACACAAGUGAGAAUGGUGUCACUUUGGAAAAACUUCUUGGCACCAUGAUUGAGGAGAGUGACCCAAGGUUACCGCCUGGAUAUAUAAGACUUGAUGAGAUUGCCAGCCGAGCAAAAGUUAACUCUCCACCGCUCGGUACACUCAUCCAUUCAUUGCAGAAGGAAGGUUAUGCUGCUUGUAGAUCUCAUAUAGGUGCCAAUGCUGUCAAGACCAACUCUCCCAUCAGUUCUUGCAUUGUGGUUGCACGGGAGAUCCGAAAUUUGCGAUAA